This 735-nucleotide long non-coding RNA is filed under the name Homo sapiens (human). RNAcentral's name for it is "non-protein coding LOXL1-AS1:22". Lineage: Eukaryota; Metazoa; Chordata; Mammalia; Primates; Hominidae. The record is from RNAcentral.
UGGAAAUGUCAACCCACUGGUUGGAAUGGGAAGCUGCUGUGUUGUGAGCCACCUUAUGGAAAACCCAUGUGGCAGAGAACCGAGGGUGGUGGCUGGCCAACAGCAAGCCAGGAGCUGAGGCCCACAGUCCAACAACUGAGACUGGGUCCCACCAUAUUGCCUGGGCUGGCCUCGGACUCUUGACCCCAAGUGAUCCUCUGGCCUCAGCCUCCCAAGCAGCUGGAUUUACAGGCAGGCACCACCGCACCGAGCUAAAAACGCCUGGCUUCCCUGGGCCUGCUGCACCUGCUCUGGCUAGGUUGGAGAGGGCUGCAGGGAGGACCGCAGUCAGCAGAGGGCGCCAAAGCCUCUCAACACAAGCAUGGCCCAGGCCUGGCCCAGAAGGAGAGCGCUGAGAGCCAGGACUGGCGGGCUACGUGCGCCCUGUGGAUUCCCCCAUUUCCCAUGCUUCAUCCAGCCAUGGGCCUGCAGUGCACUCACAAAUGUGCAUAUACCCUCCUGUGUGUGUGUUACACUCAUCAAAUUGUCUCUGAAUUUGCUUGGCUUCAUGUGUUCCUGUGUGUGUUUAUGUGUGUGUGUGGUGUGUCUGGUGUAUCUGGUUCCCCAGGAAGCACAUUUGACAGCCCCACAGUCAGGGUCAGGGCACAGGGACAGAUACUGUGUCUAUAACAAUCCAUAACACUGAUUUUGUUCAUCUCAAUAAAUGUGAGAAUGAAAUAAAAAUUAAUGUAGAAU